Molecule: ribosomal RNA, 541 nt
Filed under: uncultured marine eukaryote
Lineage: Eukaryota
Description: SSU rRNA
Rfam family: Eukaryotic small subunit ribosomal RNA
Source: RNAcentral
UUAAAAAGCUCGUAGUUGGAUUUCGGUUGAGAACGGCCGGUCCGCCGUUUGGUGUGCACUGGCUGGUUUCAACUUCCUGUAGAGGACGCGCUCUGGCUUCACGGCUGGACGCGGAGUCUACGUGGUUACUUUGAAAAAAUUAGAGUGUUCAAAGCGGGCUUACGCUUGAAUAUUUCAGCAUGGAAUAACACUAUAGGACUCCUGUCCUAUUUCGUUGGUCUCGGGGCGGGAGUAAUGAUUAAGAGGAACAGUUGGGGGCAUUCGUAUUUCAUUGUCAGAGGUGAAAUUCUUGGAUUUAUGAAAGACGAACUUCUGCGGAAGCAUUUGCCAAGGAUGUUUUCAUUAAUCAAGAACGAAAGUUGGGGGCUCGAAGAUGAUUAGAUACCAUCCUAGUCUCAACCAUAAACGAUGCCGACUAGGGAUUGCAGGAUGUUAAUUGAUGACUCCUGCAGCACCUUAUGAGAAAUCAAAGUUUUUGGGGUUCCGGGGGGAAUAUGGUCGCAAAGCUGAAACUUAAAGGAAUUGACGGAAGGGCACCACC